GAUGUACGCUGGCGGCGUGCCUGAUACAUGCAAGUAGCACGCUGAAGCUUGGUGCUUGCACCGAGCGGAUGAGUUGCGAACGGGUGAGUACGCGUAGGUAACCUGCCUGGUAGCGGGGGAUAACUAUUGGAAACGAUAGCUAAUACCGCAUAACAGUAGAUAUUGCAUGAUAUCUGCUUGAAAGGGGCAAUUGCUCCACUACCAGAUGGACCUGCGUUGUAUUAGCUAGUUGGUGAGGUAACGGCUCACCAAGGCGACGAUACAUAGCCGACCUGAGAGGGUGAUCGGCCACACUGGGACUGAGACACGGCCCAGACUCCUACGGGAGGCAGCAGUAGGGAAUCUUCGGCAAUGGACGGAAGUCUGACCGAGCAACGCCGCGUGAGUGAAGAAGGUUUUCGGAUCGUAAAGCUCUGUUGUAAGAGAAGACACGAGUGUGAGAGUGGAAAGUUCACACUGUGACGGUAACUUACCA
Molecule: ribosomal RNA, 475 nt
Filed under: Streptococcus sp. oral taxon 066
Lineage: Bacteria; Bacillati; Bacillota; Bacilli; Lactobacillales; Streptococcaceae
Description: bacterial SSU rRNA
Rfam family: Bacterial small subunit ribosomal RNA
Source: RNAcentral